Long non-coding RNA from Anopheles stephensi (Asian malaria mosquito), 474 nucleotides. RefSeq lists it as uncharacterized. The transcript is spliced from 2 exons. The record is from RefSeq and is a predicted model, not a curated record. NCBI's taxonomy places the organism in Eukaryota, Metazoa, Arthropoda, Insecta, Diptera, Culicidae.
AUUUCGCGUCACCAGACCAGACCGCUAACAGGGCGUUCUCGAAGGUUGGCGCACGCUGAAGGGCUUCUGCAAGAUGGGUUCCGAGAUAUGGUGGAAAUGGUGUUUUCUAUCACCUUGCGGCACCCCUUCGCAGGGCGGAGCGGAUAUCCUGAUUUUCGUCAUCCGGGAUCGAUGGUCAACGAGGUUCAAGGAGGUGCAGGAUCGAUGGUGUGCGCGAACCGGGCACAAGCAAAUGGUGUGCCAAUUUUUGUUUGAACCCAGCAAUGCGUGAAAGUUCAAUGUUGUGCGAACGAUGCUCAGCGAACCGCCGGAUUCCCUGCCCGCCAGCAUUUUUCUUCUGCAAUCGUAAUACAUCAUGCUGCUUUCGCCAACGACAUCUUGCUCGGGACAAAAAGGUGGGAAGAAAUUAUUUCUCGCAUCGAGCAAAUGGGAAAAUUUCAUUCAUUUCAUUAAAAAUACAUAGAAAUGGCAAAC